GAUGAACGCUGGCGGCGUGCCUAAUACAUGCAAGUCGAGCGAACGGACGAGAAGCUUGCUUCUCUGAUGUUAGCGGCGGACGGGUGAGUAACACGUGGAUAACCUACCUAUAAGACUGGGAUAACUUCGGGAAACCGGAGCUAAUACCGGAUAAUAUUUUGAACCGCAUGGUUCAAAAGUGAAAGACGGUCUUGCUGUCACUUAUAGAUGGAUCCGCGCUGCAUUAGCUAGUUGGUAAGGUAACGGCUUACCAAGGAAACGAUGCAUAGCCGACCUGAGAGGGUGAUCGGCCACACUGGAGCUGAGACACGGUCCAGACUCCUACGGGAGGCAGCAGUAGGGAAUCUUCCGCAAUGGGCGAAAGCCUGACGGAGCAGCGCGGCGUGAGUGAUGAAGGUCUUCGGAUCGUAAAACUCUGUUAUUAGGGAAGAACAUAUGUGUAAGUAACUGUGCACAUCUUGACGGUACCUAAUCAGAAAGCCACGGCUAACUACGUG
Molecule: ribosomal RNA, 497 nt
Filed under: uncultured bacterium
Lineage: Bacteria
Description: partial 16S ribosomal RNA
Rfam family: Bacterial small subunit ribosomal RNA
Source: RNAcentral